AAGUGGAGCAAUCCAUGAGUAAAGUGGCGACCGGGUGAGUAACACGUGACUAACCUACCUUUGAGUGGGGGAUAACAUCGGGAAACCGAUGCUAAUACCGCAUAACAUCGCAAGAUCAAAGCAGCAAUGCGCUUAAAGAGGGGGUCGCGGCUGAUUAGCUAGUUGGCGGGGUAACGGCCCACCAAGGCGAAGAUCGGUAUCCGGCCUGAGAGGGCGCACGGACACACUGGAACUGAAACACGGUCCAGACUCCUACGGGAGGCAGCAGUGGGGAAUUUUGCGCAAUGGGGGAAACCCUGACGCAGCAACGCCGCGUGGAGGAUGAAGUCCCUUGGG
This 336-nucleotide ribosomal RNA is filed under the name uncultured bacterium. Its description in RNAcentral is "bacterial SSU rRNA". It matches the Rfam family "Bacterial small subunit ribosomal RNA", at positions 72 to 422 of the family's 1533-position model. The record is from RNAcentral.